UUUUAAUUAAUAAAAAAGAAAAAGCCCCAGUGCUUUCAUCCAUAUGUUAUUCUUUGUCAGUACAAUGCCUGCUUCCUUAACUCGCCAGUGUCAUUUAUGGAGUACUUUCCUUCUCUGUAAAGACACCCAAAGGUGUCAUAUCUGUUUGAAUGGUGGGACACUUCGAGAAUGGGAAGGGUGAUAUACAUUUCUGCAACUCUGGAACUCUCCCUCCUUAAAGCCAAU
Pelobates cultripes (western spadefoot toad) is the source of this 225-nucleotide non-coding RNA. The record is from the annotation of a GenBank genome assembly. Lineage: Eukaryota; Metazoa; Chordata; Amphibia; Anura; Pelobatidae.